RNAcentral lists this ribosomal RNA (150 nucleotides) under uncultured bacterium. RNAcentral's name for it is "partial 16S ribosomal RNA". It matches the Rfam family "Bacterial small subunit ribosomal RNA", at positions 355 to 497 of the family's 1533-position model. The record is from RNAcentral.
UGGGGAAUAUUGGACAAUGGGGGAAACCCUGAUCCAGCGACGCCGCGUGUGUGAAGAAGGCCUGCGGGUUGUAAAGCACUUUCGAUGGGAACGAAAUGUGCCGGGCUAAUACCCCGGCAAGCUGACGUUACUCAAUGAAGAAGCACCGGC